Juglans microcarpa x Juglans regia is the source of this 386-nucleotide long non-coding RNA. RefSeq lists it as uncharacterized. The transcript has 3 exons. The record is from RefSeq and is a predicted model, not a curated record. NCBI's taxonomy places the organism in Eukaryota, Viridiplantae, Streptophyta, Magnoliopsida, Fagales, Juglandaceae.
UGACAUCCCAAGAUGGUAUUAUAAAGUUGCAUCAUUAGUCCAUUCUUUUGUUGUAUCAUAUUCAGUUUUUUUCCAACUACCAGCACUAUCAUCUGUAUCUUACUAAAUUCAUUACUUGAAUUUAGGUGGUCUUAUGUGUAUUGGAUGAUAGGUUGUAGUGACUUAUACAUUUAGUUGUAUAAAUCAUGUGUAUUGGGCUGCUCCCCUUUUACUCGUGUAAAAGACAUUAAUUGUUAAAAGAAUGUGAUGGUUGGAGUUUUUAAUAAUUUAAAUUCAGUUAAGUUCGUUGGGUUUCUAAAAUGCAAGGCUUUUGUAUCUUGGAAACAUUCUGAAUAUCAAAAGGAACAGUGGUAGUUGAGAACAAAUUUUCAGCAUUGCAAGUCAAA